CCCUGCCAUUUGUACACACCGCCCGUCGCUACUACCGAUUGAAUGGCUUAGUGAGAUCUUGGGAUUGGCUCCGGGGAGCCGGCAACGGCACCCUGGAAUUGAGAACUUGAUCAAACUUGGUCAUUUAG
RNAcentral lists this ribosomal RNA (128 nucleotides) under uncultured eukaryote. RNAcentral's name for it is "partial small subunit ribosomal RNA". It matches the Rfam family "Eukaryotic small subunit ribosomal RNA", at positions 1651 to 1776 of the family's 1831-position model. The record is from RNAcentral.